UAUACAUUAAAUUAUCUAUAACAAUGGCUGCACUAGUAGUACCCAUUAUCCUAGGAUGUCUUUUUAUUUUGAUUACAUAUUGUCCUUUAGAAAGACAGAGAGACGACAAAUUCCAUAACUGUGCGGAUCUCUUUAGGGACCUCCUAUAUAUAAUUUGUCUCAUCUGCGGUCCGUCUAUCUCGCGCGUGAUAUAGCGACAAAUUAUUUAUUACAAUGGCGACUUUUCAGUUGAGUUUAGGGCGUAUAAAGUUACCUAUAAUAUGUUGUAUAAAGAAGUAGAGUAUUUGCAUCU
Cinara cedri is the source of this 292-nucleotide non-coding RNA. NCBI's taxonomy places the organism in Eukaryota, Metazoa, Arthropoda, Insecta, Hemiptera, Aphididae. The record is from the annotation of a GenBank genome assembly.